GACUAACACUCGAAGAGGUCCAACAUCGCCUUGGCUUAAAUUUCCGAUGUUGUUUGCUGCAAUAAGAAGCAGGGUUUCUCCAAAUGAGAUGCUUCUUAUAAAGGCACAUUACGAACAAUUCAUGGAAAAGAAGAUUUCCCGUAAGGAUCUUGUGUUGAAGGUGCGAUUGGUUGUUGGAGACAAUAUAAUGAGAUCUGCAAUAACUAAUCUUCCAUACAGGAGAGCAUCAAAUGAUGACCUAGAUGACGGUGUAACCGAAAAUUUAUAAUAAGGAGGUGGAAAUCUUUCACUUGGAGAAGUUAACUAUUGUCAACAUGAAGUUGUAAUAUUGUUUUCUAUUGGGAGAUAGUUAUUGCCAUGGUUAUGAAGGUGUGUGAAGUGUUAAUACUUAAGCAGGAGAGCAAGUAAAGGUUCAUCAUUUGGUAUUUUCUAAAAGCUUA
This is a long non-coding RNA of Vicia villosa (hairy vetch), 440 nucleotides long. RefSeq lists it as uncharacterized. NCBI's taxonomy places the organism in Eukaryota, Viridiplantae, Streptophyta, Magnoliopsida, Fabales, Fabaceae. The record is from RefSeq and is a predicted model, not a curated record. The transcript is spliced from 3 exons.